AGCUCCAAUAGCGUAUAUUAAAGUUGUUGCAGUUAAAAAGCUCGUAGUUGGAUUUCUGGUGUGAGGUGCUUGACCCGCCGCGGUUACGCGUGUGAGUGUCGGUGUGCCUCGGCCAUCCUUCUAGAAAUUGGCUCUGCCCUUCAUUGGGUUGGGGUCGAGAUCUAGAUCUUUUACUUUGAAAAAAUUAGAGUGUUUAAAGCAAGCGUUGCGUGAAUACAUUAGCAUGGAAUAAUAACUUAGGACUUCGGUUCUAUUUUGUUGGUUUCUAGGACUGAAGUAAUGAUUGAUAGGGAUAGUUGGGGGUGCUAGUAUUCAGCGGCCAGAGGUGAAAUUCUUGGAUUCGCUGAAGACUAACUUAUGCGAAAGCAUUCACCAAGGAUGUCUUCU
RNAcentral lists this ribosomal RNA (387 nucleotides) under uncultured eukaryote. RNAcentral's name for it is "SSU rRNA". It matches the Rfam family "Eukaryotic small subunit ribosomal RNA", at positions 587 to 972 of the family's 1831-position model. The record is from RNAcentral.